UCCUCGCGUCUCACUCCCGCACCAGCCACCACACAACCCUAGGUCCCCUUUGACUUUGUUCCCCGCUCGCUCGUCCCUCGCCUCUCCUCAUCCCUCCUAUGCUCCAGCUACUACGCCGCCUCUCCCUCCACAACGCGACCAGCUCGAGCUCCACCUCCUCCAUCUCAAGGAGACAAAUGCACAAGACGCCUGGCACCGUCACCAUCGUCCUCGGCACAAGUGAAGCACGGGAUACCGAGAUGCUUGUUGCAUCGUCGUCGUGCUUUCUCUCGCUGCCACCACCACCCCGACCGAGACAUCCCCGUGCUCUCGCUGAGCCUUCCCCUCUGGGCCCACUGACCCAGGUGGCGGAGAAGGAGAGGGUGAGCUCGAGGGGCAGGCAAGGAAGGAGGGGGUGACAGGGUCGGAUCUGGUGGCGGCAGAUUGGAGCUCAAGCUCGAGGCGGAGACAAGGAAGGUCAGAAAAUGGAGAGACGGGAUGAAGGUGCUCGAGGCGAAGGACCGCUCAUCAGCGAGUUCGAACUGGAGGCGGCGAGAUCCCUUUCCCAAUCUCUCACUCUCUCGAUUUUUCCCUCUCCAAACAUUCAUCUCUGUUCUCAUGUGUUGCACACGUCUACUCUCCCUCCACAACCAGCACUAGCGGCCUGCAUCCCCCAUCAAGCGUGCAUCGGUGCUGGAUGUGCAAGCUUCAACAACCGCAUCAACAACGAUGGUGGGCAAGCAAGGAGCGAGACGGUGGUCACGAUUUUCAGUCUGAAGUUGCUUUUAUGAACUAUCAGUCAACCGAAGCAGUUGAAGGGAAUGGUAACCAAAUCCACCUUUGUUGGUCAUGGAUUUAGAAGAAAGCCAACAGAGUAUGAAAAGGUUCUCAUGGGACUCACCCUGAACUGAAAUCUCCGUUCAACCUUGAAAAUACUUGAUUUAUGUUGAUGAGGACAUCAAUACCAUUGUUACACCCACAAUCCCUGC
This is a long non-coding RNA of Triticum dicoccoides, 968 nucleotides long. RefSeq lists it as uncharacterized. NCBI's taxonomy places the organism in Eukaryota, Viridiplantae, Streptophyta, Magnoliopsida, Poales, Poaceae. The transcript has 3 exons. The record is from RefSeq and is a predicted model, not a curated record.